GACGAACGCUGGCGGCGUGCUUAACACAUGCAAGUCGAACGGAAAGGCCCUGCUUUUGUGGGGUGCUCGAGUGGCGAACGGGUGAGUAACACGUGAGUAACCUGCCCUUGACUUUGGGAUAACUUCAGGAAACUGGGGCUAAUACCGGAUAGGAGCUCCUGCCGCAUGGUGGGGGUUGGAAAGUUUCGGCGGUUGGGGAUGGACUCGCGGCUUAUCAGCUUGUUGGUGGGGUAGUGGCUUACCAAGGCUUUGACGGGUAGCCGGCCUGAGAGGGUGACCGGCCACAUUGGGACUGAGAUACGGCCCAGACUCCUACGGGAGGCAGCAGUGGGGAAUAUUGCACAAUGGGCGGAAGCCUGAUGCAGCAACGCCGCGUGCGGGAUGACGGCCUUCGGGUUGUAAACCGCUUUCGCCUGUGACGAAGCGUGAGUGACGGUAAUGGGCAAAGAAGCACCGGCUAACUACGUG
RNAcentral lists this ribosomal RNA (468 nucleotides) under uncultured bacterium. RNAcentral describes it as "partial 16S ribosomal RNA". It matches the Rfam family "Bacterial small subunit ribosomal RNA", at positions 28 to 507 of the family's 1533-position model. The record is from RNAcentral.